CAGUAACGGCGAGUGAAGCGGUAACAGCUCAAAUUUGAAAUCUGGCCUCACGGUCCGAGUUGUAAUUUGUAGAGGAUGCUUCGAGCAUGGUCUGGCCUAAGUUCCUUGGAACAGGACGUCAUAGAGGGUGAGAAUCCCGUAUGCGGCCAGGUGCCUACGCUCAUGUGAAGCUCCUUCGACGAGUCGAGUUGUUUGGGAAUGCAGCUCAAAAUGGGUGGUAAAUUUCAUCUAAAGCUAAAUAUUGGCCAGAGACCGAUAGCGCACAAGUAGAGUGAUCGAAAGAUGAAAAGCACUUUGGAAAGAGAGUUAAACAGUACGUGAAAUUGUUGAAAGGGAAGCGCUUGCAACCAGACUUGCGCGCGGCUGAUCAUCCGGUGUUCUCACCGGUGCACUCGGCCGUGCUCAGGCCAGCAUCGGUUUUGGCGGCUGGAUAAAGGCCCUAGGAAUGUGGCUCCUCUCGGGGAGUGUUAUAGCCUAGGGUGCAAUGCAGCCUGCUGGGACCGAGGACCGCGCUUCGGCUAGGAUGCUGGCGUAAUGGUUGUAAGCGGCCCGUCUUGAAACACGGACCAAGGAGUCUAACAUCUAUGCGAGUGUUUGGGUGUCAAACCCAUACGCGUAAUGAAAGUGAACGGAGGUGAGAACCCUUAAGGGUGCAUCAUCGACCGAUCCUGAUGUCUUCGGAAGGAUUUGAGUAAGAGCAUAGCU
RNAcentral lists this ribosomal RNA (705 nucleotides) under Pseudogymnoascus sp. RNAcentral describes it as "partial large subunit ribosomal RNA". It matches the Rfam family "Eukaryotic large subunit ribosomal RNA", at positions 81 to 807 of the family's 3401-position model. The record is from RNAcentral. Lineage: Eukaryota; Fungi; Ascomycota; Leotiomycetes; Thelebolales; Thelebolaceae.